Solanum lycopersicum (tomato) is the source of this 196-nucleotide non-coding RNA. The record is from Rfam. Lineage: Eukaryota; Viridiplantae; Streptophyta; Magnoliopsida; Solanales; Solanaceae.
CUUUCAUAAAUGAAUGUGAGUUUAUUAUCAAGUGUAGUAUAUGUUCUUAUCAAUUUAAUAUUUAAUAUAUGAAUCAUUGACUCACACGAUAUUAAUUCUAUUUUUUAAGGGGGAAGGUCCAUUACGGUAGCUUACUAUCGGGAUCUUCAAUCAUUCCCAUGAUGUUCCACCAUAUUCUUGGCCUGGUGCACUCCAC